UAGUGCAAGCUUCUUCUCACUACCAGCCAACAAAAUCAGGAGUUCAACCUCCCAACAAAAUCUCAUUGGCUUUUUCCUAACUUGAUGGCGUCUUUUGCAGAGGAAAAGAACAUGCCCAUGUUCCUCUAACCGCUGUUGGGGCAUUGUUCUCUAUCUUCUGGAUUUCACCCGAGUGUUUCCGGAGAGAAACAGAGCAAUUCUUCGUCAAGGGUGCCUGCACCGAUUUCGGCAUGUCAGAUUCAUCCUCAUAUCAGACUUGGUAUUCAACGCCGAUGGAGUUCCAAGAGCCCGAGCCUCCAUCUGUGGUUUCUUAGCUCCUCCACAACGUGAGAGGGUAGUCAAGGACACCAUGGAAUGUUUGUGAUUUAUUUUCUGUAUUAGGGGUUUUCUCAGCAUCAGCUAACCCCGCGAUCCCAUAGUUAGGUAUUCAAUAGGAAAGGGAGCUCUUCAUCCUUCUUCUCAUCAUCUCCACAGCGAAUUAGAUCAAAGGGUUUUGUUUCCACAACGAAGAUGGGAGCGUGAGUGGGAGAGAAUGUUGAGGGCUCUGUAAGCAACAUAAAUAAACCCAGGCACAUAAAAAAUGAUCAUGCAAUGUUAGGAGGGGAGUUUGUUUUGCAAAGAGGACAGCUGGUGUGCAAUCCGCUUUCUAAAAGCCUAAGGAGAAGUGUUAGAGAGAGAAUUACUACUAGGAGGUUGGAGGGCUAUGCUCGAUAGUAAUUAGUGAUGCUAGAAUCGAUUAAGGAGGAGCACAUAGCAGAGUGCGCAAGAGUCUUCGAAGCCACUAAUCUCAAAUUUGAUGCUAUUCAAACUUCCAUAGCCCCAGCUUCUGUACGAUCAGCGUCGGAGCCGCUCUCUGUCGCGUGAACUAUCCCGUGGUUCGAACUCAGGGUCAGAUCCACCAUUUUGGACGGGCUUACAGCCAAGAAAGGUGACUUUGGGUAGUGAUGCUUUGGGUAGGCUUUUUGCUAUGAACUAGUAUUUUAAAUUUUUUUGGAUACCCGAAGAGGAGCAAAUCAGCAUCGUUGUAAUUCAUAUGUCUGGGACGGCAAUUCUGUGGUUUCAAAUGUCUCAGAGGACGGCACAGUUUUGAUCUUGGAAUCAAUUGAAGAGGGCUAUUGAGAUCGAGUUUGGUCUAUCUUUAUUUGAGUCUCUUAGGGAAUUAUUGUUCAAAAUGCAACAGUCUAGCUCGGUGAGUGAAUAUUAUUCAGAAUUUG
Molecule: non-coding RNA, 1214 nt
Organism: Arachis ipaensis
Lineage: Eukaryota; Viridiplantae; Streptophyta; Magnoliopsida; Fabales; Fabaceae
Source: RefSeq, a predicted model, not a curated record